Long non-coding RNA from Asparagus officinalis (garden asparagus), 271 nucleotides. RefSeq lists it as uncharacterized. The record is from RefSeq and is a predicted model, not a curated record. Lineage: Eukaryota; Viridiplantae; Streptophyta; Magnoliopsida; Asparagales; Asparagaceae. The transcript is spliced from 3 exons.
GGGUUAGGAGGUUUGGGGAGAAUGCGAUUGGGGUUUUGAAGGCGGCGGUUGUUGGUUCGCAGAAGGAUUAUAGAGUUUCAAGGGAUUGCAAAUGGUUGCCGGAUAAAGUGAAGGAAGAAUGUCUUGAAACAGCCAAAUAUGUGGAGAAGGCUUUCAUUAAAGCUAUUAAUGAGAGCAACUGUGGUAGAGAGCAUGUAGUACCUAGCAUUGUCCAGUUCUGCUUUAUCUUGCUAGAGUCAGCGAAUGAGGAGACUGGUAAAGUCAGUGAUGG